Oryza sativa Japonica Group (Japanese rice) is the source of this 1546-nucleotide RNA transcript. It is a transcript of the gene named peptidyl-prolyl cis-trans isomerase, chloroplastic, with no coding region annotated. The record is from RefSeq and is a predicted model, not a curated record. Lineage: Eukaryota; Viridiplantae; Streptophyta; Magnoliopsida; Poales; Poaceae.
CACCUCCACCUCCACCUCCCCCUUCCCUUCUCGCCAAUCUCACUUCAUCCUCCUCCUCCCAUCAAUGGCGGCGGCGCUCGCGUUCCCCACCUGCUGCUGCUGCCGCCGCCCCUCGCUGCGUCCUUCCGCGGGUCGCCGCGGCCGUCGCCCCGUCGCCCGCUGCGCGCUCCCCUCCUCCGAGAAGAAUUCAUUUAGCUGGAAAGAAUAUGCAAUUUCUGUAGCAUUAUCGGCUGGAUUAAUCACUGGCGCACCAACGUUAGGAUGGCCAGCACAUGCUUCUCCUCUUGAACCAGUGAUCCCAGAUGUUUCAGUUUUGAUCUCUGGACCUCCCAUUAAAGAUCCUGGUGCUUUAUUGAGAUAUGCUUUGCCAAUAGAUAAUAAAGCUGUUCGUGAAGUUCAAAAACCACUAGAGGAUAUCACUGACAGUCUUAAGAUUGCUGGUGUUAGAGCCUUGGAUUCAGUUGAAAGAAAUGUAAGACAAGCAUCGAGGGCACUGAGUAAUGGGAGGAACCUAAUUCUUGGCGGUCUUGCUGAAUCCAAAAGAGCAAAUGGGGAGGAAUUAUUGGAUAAAUUGGCUGUUGGACUUGAUGAGCUUCAACGGAUUGUUGAGGACAGAAACAGGGAUGCAGUAGCUCCAAAGCAGAAAGAACUUCUCCAGUAUGUUGGAACUGUAGAAGAAGAUAUGGUCGAUGGAUUCCCCUAUGAAGUGCCAGAAGAAUACAGCAGCAUGCCUCUUCUCAAAGGAAGGGCUACCGUGGACAUGAAGGUUAAGAUUAAGGACAAUCCUAAUUUAGAGGAUUGCGUAUUUCGGAUUGUUCUGGAUGGAUACAAUGCUCCUGUGACUGCUGGGAACUUCUUAGAUCUGGUGGAACGGAAGUUCUAUGAUGGCAUGGAAAUUCAAAGAGCUGAUGGUUUUGUUGUUCAAACUGGCGAUCCUGAGGGACCAGCUGAGGGAUUUAUUGAUCCCAGUACUGGUAAAGUUCGUACAAUACCUCUUGAGUUAAUGGUCGAUGGUGACAAAGCGCCUGUAUAUGGUGAAACACUUGAAUACACAUGAUCAUGCAUUCAGGAACUUGGCCGCUACAAGGCUCAAACAAAGCUUCCUUUUAAUGCAUUUGGAACAAUGGCAAUGGCUAGAGAUGAAUUUGAUGACAAUUCUGCUUCUAGCCAAAUCUUUUGGUUGUUAAAAGAGAGUGAGCUAACACCAAGCAAUGCCAAUAUACUGGAUGGGCGGUAUGCCGUAUUUGGAUAUGUCACCGAGAACGAGGACUACUUGGCAGACCUCAAGGUUGGGGAUGUCAUUGAAUCGAUUCAAGUUGUCUCAGGCUUAGACAACCUCGCCAACCCAAGCUAUAAGAUUGUAGGAUAAAAUGUUUCUUUUUUUCAGGAGUUCCUUGAUAGGCAAUUAUUUUACCAUAUUGAAAUCAGUGUAAAGUGCUAUAAUCUCUAACCCUCAUCUCAUGACCUUCUAUGUUUUGUGAGUUUUGCAAUAUGCGGGAUUCAAUAUUACUUGAAAGUAAAGACGUUCAUCAUUUGUCUCUUGCCA